AGUUUUCCCUCCCUUCUGCUCUGGUCCCUGUCCUAUUCAUUAGGUUCUGCAUGUGAGUGAAACCAUAUGAUAAUUGUCUUUCUCUGCUUGACUUAUUUCGCUUAAGCAUAAUCACCUCCUGUUCCAUCCAUGUCGAAGCAAAUGGUAGGUAUUCAUCCUUUCUGGUGGCUGAGUAAUAUUCUAUUGUUUUCUGCUUCUCCCUCUGCCUCUGCCUGCU
Molecule: long non-coding RNA, 217 nt
Organism: Lutra lutra (Eurasian river otter)
Lineage: Eukaryota; Metazoa; Chordata; Mammalia; Carnivora; Mustelidae
Exons: 3
Source: RefSeq, a predicted model, not a curated record